This 2180-nucleotide long non-coding RNA is filed under the name Homo sapiens (human). Its description in RNAcentral is "HSALNT0177039". Lineage: Eukaryota; Metazoa; Chordata; Mammalia; Primates; Hominidae. The record is from RNAcentral.
UUUAUCGGCAAUGGAUGAUGAUGGUGAUGAUGAUGCCCAAUAGUCAGGGAUUUGGAAGGAACAGAGCUAGGAUUCAUAACAAAAAAUUCUGGCAGAUUCACAAAUGGUUCAAAUCCUAUAGGGUUGAAAAUUUCCCCCACCAGGGAAAGAAUGCUGAUCAGCAUGGUACAGGCUGAAGGCAAAGAGAAGGUGGAGGGGGUUAUGAAGAAAGGUAGUUGUAAAUAUCAACUACAGCCUUAGGCCUGUUGCAGAAAUAAAGAUUCCAACAGGCAUCAAAUGCUUUGUCCUUGUCCUAUUAUGUGACCCUUUUCACUUUUCUUCCCCUCUCCCUUUCCUCUUCUGUUUUAUAUAUGGUGAUCCUUCUCAGCCAGGGGUGAUUUUGACCUAUGGGGGACUGAUAUGGUUUGGCUCUGUGUCCCUACCCAAAUCUCAUCUAGAAUUGUAAUCCCCAUGUUUACAGGGAGGGAGGCGAUUGGAUCACGGGGAUGGCUUCCCCCAUGCUCUUCUCAUGAUAGGGAAUUCUCACGAGAUCUGAUGGUUUUAAAACCUGCGCUCUUCUGCGCUCUCACUUCUCCCUCCUGCCGCCUUGUGAAGAAGGUGCCUGCUUCACCUUCCACCAUGAUUGUAAGUUUCCUGAGGCCUCCUCAGACAUGCAGAACUGUGAGUCAAUUAAACCUCUUUCCUUUUAUAAAGUACCCAGUCUCAGGAAGUUCCUUAUAGCAGUGUGAAAACGGACUAAUACAGGGACCCUUGCCAAUGUCUAGAGACAUUUUCAAUUGCCAUGACUUGGGAAAGGGGAGCGCUACUGGCAUCUAUCAGGUAGAGUAAGGGAGGCUGCUAAAUAUCCUACAAUGCACAGAAAAGUCCCCCACAACAGAUAUUAUUUGGCCCAAAAUGUCAGUGUUCUCAAGGUGGAGAACUGAUAGAGAGUACAGAUGGUGGUUCAUAUUUUAAGUCCACAAGUUACAGGAUAUCAAGAUGGAAUUGGGAUUGAACCAAAGAAGGUUGAAUAAUACCCAGAAAUGGGUGUGAUGACUGAGCUACUAUGUUCUCUUUUAAGGAGUGUGAUAUGGCUUGGAUCUGUGUCCCCACCGAAUCUCAUGUCGGAGGUGGGGCCUGGUGGAGGUGACUGGACCAGUGUGCUUUCCUGUUCUUCAGAUUCUACAAAGAGAAACACUCUGUUUCCCAGACUUGCUUACAGCAAGGGACUUAGAUCCCGCCAGCCAGAGGCACUCCCGUGAGAUGGGCAGCUGUGCAGGAGGCAUCUGUCCUGCCGUGCAAUGCUCAGGCACAACCAGUUUUGGAGCCAACAGUCCUGACAUUGACUUUCUAUCCCUCAGACGCCAGCCAAGGCAGUGCAUUCCUGGAAUCAACGCUCUCAAUAGCAGCUUCCCAAUCCUUGGCCAAAGUGAUGUCACUCAGAGCCAGCGGUUAGGACAGAGGAUUCUCCAGCCUCAGAUUGCGGCAGAGUUCACAGUACCCUGGGGUGGGCUGAUUCUGCAGGGUUGUUUUUUAUGUCAUUUCUGAAGGUCCAAUUAAUAGCCCAUUUCUCCAGCUCUUCCAAUUAUUUUAUAAACACUAAAACCCUAUACAGAAUCCCUUAAUGCUUAAAAUGGUAAGAGUGGUUUCUGCAAUAGAACCCUGAUCGAUACAGCAAUAAAUAGUAUCCACAAUGACUUAUCAAUAAGGAAAAGGAAAAAGAGAGAGAAAAUUAAGUAAAAGACAUGAAUAUUCCAGAGGGAAAAAAUAAGAAUGUUCUAUAAACUUGAAAAGAUGUUCAACCCCAUCAGUAUUAAGGGCAACCACAACGAGAUACAUUUUCACAUCCACCAGAUCAACAGUUUUGAUGAUGCCCCUAAGUAGUCCUGAAGCAGUGCCUCCCAACCUCUCUCACCUAAUGGUGCACAGAGAAAGCCAUAGAAUGUUAUCAGCACAGGCUGGGCACUGUGGCUCACACCUGUAAUCCUGGCACUUUGGGAGGCCGAGGUGGGGGGAUCACUUGAGGUCAGGAGUUUGAGACCAGCCUGGCCAACAUGGUGAAACCCCAUCUCUACUAAAAAUACAAAAAUUGGCCAGGUGUGGUGGUAGGCACCUGUAAUCCAGCUAUUUGGGAAGCUGAGACAGGAGAAUCGCUUGAAUUCAGGAGGUGGGGGUUGUAGUGAUCUGAGAUCGCACCACUG